CCCUUAGAUGUUCUGGGCCGCACGCGCGCUACACUGAUGCAUUCAACAAGCCUAGCCUUGACCGAGAGGUCCGGGUAAUCUUUGAAACUGCAUCGUGAUGGGGCUAGAUUAUUGCAAUUAUUAAUCUUCAACGAGGAAUGCCUAGUAAGCGUGAUUCAUCAAAUCGCGUUGAUUACGUCCCUGCCCUUUGUACACACCGCCCGUCGCUCCUACCGAUUGAAUGUGUUGGUGAGGAGCUCGGAUUGGCAGCAGUUGGUGGUUCGCCACCGGCUAUUGCUUAGAAGUCCUCCAAACCGCCCCAUUUAGAGGGAGGAGAAGUCGUAACA
This 326-nucleotide ribosomal RNA is filed under the name uncultured eukaryote. Its description in RNAcentral is "partial 18S ribosomal RNA". It matches the Rfam family "Eukaryotic small subunit ribosomal RNA", at positions 1470 to 1796 of the family's 1831-position model. The record is from RNAcentral.